CCUACGGGUGGCAGCAGUGAGGGAUAUUGGUCAAUGGACGAGAGUCUGAACCAGCCAAGUAGCGUGAAGGAUGACUGCCCUAUGGGUUGUAAACUUCUUUUAUAUGGGAAUAAAACGUUCCACGUGUGGGAUUUUGUAUGUACCAUAUGAAUAAGGAUCGGCUAACUCCGUGCCAGCAGCCGCGGUAAUACGGAGGAUCCGAGCGUUAUCCGGAUUUAUUGGGUUUAAAGGGAGCGUAGGUGGAUUGUUAAGUCAGUUGUGAAAGUUUGUGGCUCAACCGUAAAAUUGCAGUUGAAACUGGCAGUCUUGAGUACAGUAGAGGUGGGCGGAAUUCGUGGUGUAGCGGUGAAAUGCUUAGAUAUCACGAAGAACUCCGAGUGCGAAGGCAGUUCACUGGACUGCAACUGACACUGAGGCUCGAAAGUGUGGGUAUCAAACAGGAUUAGAUACCCCAGUAGUC
RNAcentral lists this ribosomal RNA (460 nucleotides) under uncultured bacterium. RNAcentral describes it as "partial 16S ribosomal RNA". It matches the Rfam family "Bacterial small subunit ribosomal RNA", at positions 338 to 795 of the family's 1533-position model. The record is from RNAcentral.